GGAAGUAAAAAUCGUAACAAGGUUUCCGUAGGUGAACCUGCGGAAGGAUCAUUAAAGAAGCAGCCCUAAACUCUUCUUAUACCCUCCAGUGAACUGUCCGGCCUAGCCGCAUAUACAAACUCUUGUGUCGUCUAUGUAUGUCUAGUUAUUCAUAACAAGUAUAACUUUUAGCAACGGAUCUCUUGGCUCUCGCAUCGAUGAAGAACGCAGCGAAAUGCGAUAAGUAAUGUGAAUUGCAGAAUUCAGUGAAUCAUCGAAUCUUUGAACGCACCUUGCGCCGUCGGCAGUCUUUGACUGCCAUGGCAUGCCAGUUUGAGCGCCUUAACAGCUUUGCACUGCGGCUGUGGUCGCAGAGCAGACUUGAGUGCUGCUGACUUGUCAGCUCGCUCUGAAAGCAUUAGCUUCUUGAAAGCCUAAGCAACGUGAUAAGUAUCUUCGUUGUGACUGGCCUGAAAGGACGCUUAGAACCGUCUUCGGACAACACCCAAUGCUAGGCAUCAAAUUGGUAGGACUACCCGCUGAACUUAAGCAUAUCAAUAAGCGGAGGA
RNAcentral lists this small RNA (548 nucleotides) under Dacrymyces pachysporus. RNAcentral describes it as "eukaryotic LSU rRNA". The stretch from base 163 to 322 matches the Rfam family "5.8S ribosomal RNA". The record is from RNAcentral. Lineage: Eukaryota; Fungi; Basidiomycota; Dacrymycetes; Dacrymycetales; Dacrymycetaceae.